Molecule: long non-coding RNA, 331 nt
Filed under: Elaeis guineensis (African oil palm)
Lineage: Eukaryota; Viridiplantae; Streptophyta; Magnoliopsida; Arecales; Arecaceae
Description: long non-coding RNA (EGUI_LNC030179)
Source: RNAcentral
GGGUGGGGAUCGUAUUUGUCAAGAGGAUACUACGAGUUGGUCAGCUCAUUGUUGAGGGUAGCUCUGCCACGAUGAUGUCCUGGCUGUAGAGCUACAUCCGUGGCGAAGUCACUCAUCCCCUACUGCAUGAUAUCUCGAUUUUGCUGGAAGGAUGUACUAUUCUGAUUAUUAGAUAUAUCUUUCGAGAGGCAAACACUGUGGCAAAUUGGGUGACAGCCUUUGUAGCUAAGUAUGACACCUUAAGGAUCGGGGUAAGCAGCAUUUUCUAAUUUUCUUGAUUGUAUUUGUGCAAGAAUUGUUUGAAUAAAUCUAUCUUAUCAAAAAAAAAAAA